UAGGGAAUUUUCGUCAAUGGGCGCAAGCCUGAACGAGCGAUGCCGCGUGAGUGAAGAAGGCCUUCGGGUCGUAAAGCUCUGUUGCGGGGGAAAAAAGGCAGCAUCAGGAAAUGGGUGCUGACUGAUGGUGCCCCUCCAGAAAGUCACGGCUAACUACGUGCC
Molecule: ribosomal RNA, 162 nt
Filed under: uncultured bacterium
Lineage: Bacteria
Description: partial 16S ribosomal RNA
Rfam family: Bacterial small subunit ribosomal RNA
Source: RNAcentral